UGAUGAUGACGAUGAUGAUGAUGGUGAGGAUGAUGAUUAUGUAGCUAUUCCGACGAUAACGGGAGAAGAUAAGCAGUCGUGGCAUCAUCAUCAUCAUCAUCAUCAUCAUCAUCAUCA
Molecule: microRNA precursor, 117 nt
Filed under: Bigelowiella natans CCMP2755
Lineage: Eukaryota; Cercozoa; Chlorarachniophyceae
Description: miRNA EPrBNAG00000013571
Rfam family: mir-598 microRNA precursor family
Source: RNAcentral